AGAGUUUGAUCCUGGCUCAGAUUGAACGCUGGCGGAAUGCUUUACACAUGCAAGUCGAACGGCAGCACGGGGCAACCUGGUGGCGAGUGGCGAACGGGUGAGUAAUACAUCGGAACGUGCCCAAUCGUGGGGGAUAACGUAGCGAAAGUUACGCUAAUACCGCAUACGAUCUACGGAUGAAAGCGGGGGAUCGCAAGACCUCGCGCGAGUGGAGCGGCCGAUGUCAGAUUAGGUAGUUGGCGGGGUAAAGGCUCACCAAGCCAACGAUCUGUAGCUGGUCUGAGAGGACGACCAGCCACACUGGAACUGAGACACGGUCCAGACUCCUACGGGAGGCAGCAGUGGGGAAUUUUGGACAAUGGGCGCAAGCCUGAUCCAGCCAUUCCGCGUGCAGGAUGAAGGCCUUCGGGUUGUAAACUGCUUUUGUACGGAACGAAACGGCGAGCUCUAAUACAGUUUGCUAAUGACGGUACCGUAAGAAUAAGCACCGGCUAACUACGUG
RNAcentral lists this ribosomal RNA (502 nucleotides) under uncultured bacterium. Its description in RNAcentral is "bacterial SSU rRNA". It matches the Rfam family "Bacterial small subunit ribosomal RNA", at positions 8 to 507 of the family's 1533-position model. The record is from RNAcentral.